UGACUGUCUGCCUGUGUGUGUGUGGCUGUCUGCCUGUCUGUAUGUGUGGAUGUUUGCCUCGGUGUCAGUGACUGUCUGCCUCUGUGUGUGUGUGCGCACCUGCUAGUGAGGGAGCCUCUGUGUGUGUGUGCCUGCUAGUGAGUUUGUGUGUGUGUGCCUGCUAGUGAGUGAGCUUGUAUGUGUAUCAGUGAGCUUGUCUGUAGGGAUCAUAUGUGUGUGUGUUAGUGAGCUCUUGUCUGUAAGGAGUAUGGGUGUGAUCGUGGGCUUGUCUGUAGUGAGCGUGUGUGUCAGUUAGCUUGUCUGUAGUGAGCGUGUGUGUCAGUGAGCGUGUGUGUCAGUGAGCUUGUCUGUAGUGACCAUAUGUAUCAGUGAGCUUGUCUGUAGUGAGCGUGUGU
Molecule: non-coding RNA, 395 nt
Organism: Pelobates cultripes (western spadefoot toad)
Lineage: Eukaryota; Metazoa; Chordata; Amphibia; Anura; Pelobatidae
Source: the annotation of a GenBank genome assembly